AUCUGGUUUGUUUCAGUUACAAGCGCCAGAAUCUGCUGUUUUCUAGUAGCGAGAAAACCGGACAAUGUGACUCUACAUCACAUAUACCAACAUUUAUAUUUAUUCCAUAAGACACAUACAUUAAAAUAUAGGACUCUUCAAAACGAGUUCCCAAGAAAGAGACAAUGCAAGUGUUGCCUAUUUGGGAGCUUUCCAUCCCUCUCCCAGCAGUGCUAUUGAUUACGGUGGGCCUUUACAUGAUCGUCCUGGGGAUCGGGCUGUGGAUCCGACACUGCCUCAAGGAUCGUUGUUCUUCAGAGUGUGGUGACUGCUGUCCAAACAUUUCCAUAAGUGAACAAUGCUAUAGAUUUGCAGAAAUGUGUGACUUUCACCUGCCAACCUUGCGCUCAUGUCGAGCCAUUUUGUGCUCUUCUCCUUCAUGUGCCAAAUGGGACUGUGCCUGCACCUGUCAGCCUCCUGAGUGUGAAUCCUGCAACUGCCUCUGCUUCGAGAUCAGGAUCAAGUAAAAGAAGGGGUUCGAGGUGCACUAAUGCCACUGUCAGCUGAUGCACUCCAGAUAAAGUUGUAGGUUUCUACAAGAAGAGGCGGAGACACAUGGAAGAGAAGAGGAGAUGGAAGAAGUUGAAGAAGGUGGAGUGAGCAGGAGCAUCCCCGCUGUUGGUGGUGGGGUUGGCUGCUGUGGUG
Epinephelus fuscoguttatus (brown-marbled grouper) is the source of this 684-nucleotide long non-coding RNA. RefSeq lists it as uncharacterized. Lineage: Eukaryota; Metazoa; Chordata; Actinopteri; Perciformes; Serranidae. The transcript has 6 exons. The record is from RefSeq and is a predicted model, not a curated record.